Molecule: long non-coding RNA, 1132 nt
Organism: Micropterus salmoides (largemouth bass)
Lineage: Eukaryota; Metazoa; Chordata; Actinopteri; Centrarchiformes; Centrarchidae
Exons: 4
Source: RefSeq, a predicted model, not a curated record
CUUAACUGAGUUUAACUCAGGCUUGAGUUAAAGAUGUCUUACCUUCCAAUCAUACAAUGAUUAAUUAAUCAUUUCUCAGUCAUAUUGCCCUUUUCCUGUAUUUGACUAAAAUGUUGUAUCAGUUCUAUAUUAAAUCCUCAACGAUAUUUCCUGUCCCACUGUGUAAUUUUAGCCUUAAUCAACUUAACACCUCUGGUAUAUUUAAAAAGCCUUUUUUUCUGGGUUUGUGGGUUUCUGAUUUGCUAACACAACAGGCUGGGAUUGAUACAGUGCUGUUAUAGCAUAAUUUUGCUAUACAACAGACAGGAGGACAACAGUGGAAGUAAGUGAUAGAGUGAGGUAUGAAUGUUGACCCUGGCCAAUGUUUUUUUUUUUUCUGUCUGUAUUGACCUAAACCACCCUCAUCCAGCCCUCUGCUCUUAUCUGUGUGUCUGUCUGUGGAUUAUUGAACCAGCACUGCAGCAGCCUGAGCCAGCCACUCAGCUAUUAGUCUGCCCUACCAUACUCUAUCCCUCUCCCUCUGGCUGACUGGGAUCUGAUCUAGGGGACUCGGGGUGAAAAGGAAGGCUCUGGUUGCAGUCAGAGACCAAGGUCAGCACGUUACAUUGACUGGACAACACAGUGAGGUGAAUACUGCUCAUCUGUGGUCACCAGGAAGAGUGGUGGCUUUGGAGUUUCUUAGCAGUAGAGAGAGACAGUAAAGACAGGGAAGAGAGAGGGGAUGACAUGCAGCAAAGGCCCCGGCCGGAUUCAAACCUAGACUGCUGCAGUAAGGCCUCAGCCUUGAUUUGUGGAACACACUCUACCAGCUCCACCUCAGCAGCCCAACACAGCCGUAGCGGGAAAGACGAUGUUUUGAAUGAAUGAAUCGACGCCUCGGUGCACAGCAGAGGACGUCAGCAGUAGCAGCACUACCAGCUGAGAGGAGUACACACACACACAGGCACCACUGAGAAGAGCAGCGCACAGCACAGCGAAUCACAGAUCUGCAGCUAACAUGUUGGGCCAACCAGGACAGUCAACCUUACACGUCCCUUACAAGAGGCAGCCAGGGAAUCAUGCGACUCACAGCCACAACUUGAGGACUACAUCAUUUCGGCACCCUGUCACCGGACAGAUUUCCCCUGAAAAC